CGGGCCUCCUCCCACCCCUCCCGUGGAGAUGCUGAGGUGUGGGGGAACGGGCGCCUCAUUUGGCAGCUGCUGAGUCACAGGCUGAGCCAAGAGCUCUCAGCAACCCUGCAAGGAAGGCCAUUCUGUCCCUUGUACCUGUGACAACCCUGAGCUUGGAUGUCAUCAGUGGUGGAGCAAGCACUCACUGAUGGACAGCACACUG
This 202-nucleotide long non-coding RNA is filed under the name Bos taurus (domestic cattle). RNAcentral's name for it is "long non-coding RNA NONBTAT025548". Lineage: Eukaryota; Metazoa; Chordata; Mammalia; Artiodactyla; Bovidae. The record is from RNAcentral.